GCUGCAAUAGCUCAGUCGGUAGAGCGUCGCCUUGGUAAGGCGGAGGUCGCGGGUUCAAAUCCCGCUUGUAGCU
This 73-nucleotide transfer RNA is filed under the name Aerococcus sp. RNAcentral's name for it is "tRNA-Thr". It matches the Rfam family "tRNA". From Rfam's summary of the family: Transfer RNA (tRNA) molecules are approximately 80 nucleotides in length. Their secondary structure includes four short double-helical elements and three loops (D, anti-codon, and T loops). Further hydrogen bonds mediate the characteristic L-shaped molecular structure. tRNAs have two regions of fundamental functional importance: the anti-codon, which is responsible for specific mRNA codon recognition, and the 3' end, to which the tRNAs corresponding amino acid is attached (by aminoacyl-tRNA synthetases). tRNAs cope with the degeneracy of the genetic code in two manners: having more than one tRNA (with a specific anti-codon) for a particular amino acid; and 'wobble' base-pairing, i.e. permitting non-standard base-pairing at the 3rd anti-codon position. Lineage: Bacteria; Bacillati; Bacillota; Bacilli; Lactobacillales; Aerococcaceae. The record is from RNAcentral.